UCCUCCCCCUGCACCUGUCUCCCGCCGCGCCCCGACUCGCCGGCAGCUCCCGGGGCGCGGAGCCGGAGCCCGAGCCCGAACCCGCCAUGGGCCACCUGCGGGGCGGGUUGCGCUGCAUCAAGUUCCUGCUCUUCGCCUUCAACUUCGUCUUCUGGCUGGCAGGGUUGGCUGUCAUUGCCUUUGGACUAUGGCUGCGAUUUGGUGGGGUCCUGGGAGACUUAACUUCGGAGGAAAAAUCCCCAGAGUACUUCUACAUGGGGCUGUAUGUGCUUGUGGGAGCAGGGGCGUUGAUGACGACAGUUGGAUUUUUUGGGUGCUGUGGAGCAGUGCGGGAGUCUCAGUGCCUGCUUGGAGCGUUUUUUGCCUGCUUGCUGGUGAUAUUUGCUGCUGAAGUCACCGCUGGAGUGUUUGCAUUUAUAGGCAAAAAAGUGGCAGUACAGGAGGUCCAGGCCAUCUAUGAAGAAGCUUAUGAUGACUAUGUGAUGGACAUGGGGAAAAGCAACAAAACUCUCAUUCAGUUCCACACAGCUCUUCAGUGCUGUGGUAAAGAAAGUGAGAUUCCGGUGAAGCCCACGUGUCCAGAGGGCAUCCAGGUGCCCAAGAACUGCCUGCAUGAAAUCCAGAAUUUAAUUAACUCUAAUCUGCAUUUAGUUGGAAUCGUUGGAAUUGCAAUUGCUGGUAUCACUAUCUUUGGCAUGAUAUUCAGCAUGGUUCUCUGCUGUGCUAUCCGCAAUACAAGAGACAUGCUCUAAAACUCACUGCACAAUUUCUACGCUCCGGGACUUCCAGGCUAAACUUGGCAAGAUGCAUCCUCUGAGUUUAAUAAUUGUAAUACAUUUUUGAUUAGUGUUUUAACCAACUGAGAGGAAAAGGCCCCAUUUGGCAGCAUUUGAAUGGCCAUUGAUAUCCUAAGGCAGCUGUGUUCCACUAAAAGUAAAGCAGCUGGGCAUGCAACACACGGCCACGCCAGGAAUUUCUGGGCUUGGCCUCAGGCUUCCCAAGCCAACGUGGAGACAAUGUGGCUGGCUCCAAGGAAGAGAGCUAGGUUUGCAUCCUUCUGCAGUGACCUCACUGGAGGAGAGUCCUGUGGAAACACCUUGUGUAACGAUAGGGACUGAGGAGGUUACUGCAUGAGCCCAAGUCCAGAUCUUCAGGGCCUGACAAAGUAGUUCACUUUUAGGAGAGAGUAUGAGUCUCUAGACAAGGCAGAGAGCCCUUGGCAGUUAUGUGGAGCUGGGGAAUACCCUAUAAAGAGAAGGCUGGCAAAAAAUAGACAUUGCUAUACAGAAGCAGUUUUCUUAGCCUUUGCCGGUCAAAUGAAAAGGUCUUUGCAGACCAGCAGGCUGUAAAUAACACAUUAGGCAGACAUGAUGGCAUUAUUGAUCUUUUAUGAACUAAGACCUAACCUUAUUGGCACUGUCCAUUGCUGGCCUUACCGGGUCUCGUGCUCUGGAUAAUACAGAUAACUGUAAUGCUCACUGCAUUCCAUGCGGGAGGGCAUUUACUGUAUAGGCAGAUCCAUCUCUCUCACGCACACUCUGGAAUGAGUUUUUUUUUUUUUUUAAAAAACACACACACACCCUUGCCAUUUAAAAAAAAAAUUACUGUAUCUUGUUUGGCACCAGAACAGUAAUAAAUAGCCAGAGUUUGCUUCCUUUUUCACUUACAGCAACAUGGAGUCAGUCUGGAGAUGCCCACUUCUGCUUUUGAGAUGCACCAGGUCAAGGACUGGUGCUUGCAGAAACCUUUCUUGCUUGUUUACCUCUAAGUGCCUUUUAGAAACAGAGAAGAGUGCCAGUAAGAAACUGUAUUUCAAUAAAUUCAGACUUGAAUCACCUUGCUUUCUAAUGAAAUCAUUUUUUUCUAUACAAUGUGUUCAUAUUUAUAUGCAUAACAGUUAGGUGUACUCUGGGUUCCAGUGCUAUCCCGGAAUAUUGGAUAUGCACUUUGUACUGAAGAUCAGGAACAUAAUGAUACCAGUUAUUGGUUUAAUUCUCUGGAUUAUGAUUGUGCAUCAGGCCAGGAAGCAGCAUAUUUAAAAUGUCUGUCAGUGGCUUUAACAGUGUGGUCUUUCCAUCUCGCCAUUUCAUGCUGUUGUUUUGUAGACAAAAUAUCACUGAAUUAGUGAGUUUCCUCUAUCCUGUAUUAGCAUUUGAAGGACAUUUUACUCUUAGCCAGUGGUUACUAGCAAUAGAAGGUGAAAUUACUAUUCUCUUUGCCCCUUAUAAUAAUUAUUAUGAUUCUUCUGUAGUGCUUUACAAGCAAUAACUAAUUAGACCCUUCCUUGGCAUUUCUGUGGUUAGAUUGAGCAAUCCUGCUUAUAGUUCAGUUGCGGUUGAGCUAUAAAUCCAACCCUGACAUCUGGGAAGAAAAGUACCCCCAGUUUCUGUGGAAAUAUUCCCCAUUCAUUGUGCUGCUUCCUCUUUGGUUUAAAUCUGGCACUCUCAUUUUAUUCCCAAGCUCUGCACUUCUGCCAGAUGGCACAGCACUCUUCCCAACAUGCUCCAUCUAGCUGUGAUAAGGAAACUUUCUAUGGCAUAUGAAUCCAAACCACCAAAAAAUAUAGUCUGUGCUAGAAAAUCAGCACAUCAGGAUUGAAUUCACUCAACCCAAUUCUGUCCUCAGAUACGUACAUGCAUGAGAACAUCCAAUGCGCCGAUAAGAUCAGGGCUCCUGCUAGACCAGUAUCCUGUCUCUGACAGUGGCCAGUACCAGCUGCUUCAGAGGAAGCUGCCAGAAACAUCUGUAGCAAGCAGCAGCCAGUAGGGGAAGUUUCUUCCUAUUCCCAUCAAUUGGCUUAUUAUUCUCAUUAUUCAUAUAAUUGUCUAACAUUUUUUUAUUGUACUGAGCUCCUGAAAUUCUCAUUGACCUCUGUAGGAGCCACAUGUGCAUAUUUGAGGGCAGAAUUUGACUAGUUUUAGAAGCCUUCUGGGGCCAAGCAGGAUCUGAGUGGAGUAGAUCCCUGGAAUAUCCACACAAUAAAGAGCUGUUUCAUUUCCAAUCGUCCCACUAGAAACAAGUGGGAUUGUUUCAAGGUAAAAUAUAUUCUAUCCCUACUGAAAAAGAAACAGAGCUGUUAUCUGAACCCUUUUAAACCCACUUUUUGUGAUCUUUUGGAGACUAACUCCUUUAAAUUCUUAUUAAAUGUACAUUAUAAACACAGCUCACCAUCAAAUCCGUUCCCCUUCUACAUUGGUGUAUUACAAUGCUCCUGUCCUGACCUCCCUGCUAGACCAGGAUUGUCUGAGCCACCCGUUUCCAAUAUCAAAUGCUUCUUCCUGUAUUCCAAGUGCUAACAUCAGGCAGGACUGGGACAUCAUGUGAUUGUUGUAGGGCCUGUGAGAGCAAGAGCAUUUGUCUGUAUGAGAGUUCCCCUGAGUUGUAAAUGUUGGUCAGGUGAUUGUGCUGUUGCUGAAACUAGUUUUCAUUUGACAUGUUCUGAACUGGCUUUUAUUGACUUUUCUGUACUGAAUUUAAAGGUUCUAAUAAACGAUAACCUGAAAUAAGAGAAGUGGAGGAAACAA
This is an RNA transcript of Gopherus flavomarginatus (Mexican gopher tortoise), 3524 nucleotides long. It is a transcript of the gene named tetraspanin 2, with no coding region annotated. The transcript is spliced from 9 exons. Lineage: Eukaryota; Metazoa; Chordata; Testudines; Testudinidae. The record is from RefSeq and is a predicted model, not a curated record.